This is a long non-coding RNA of Oncorhynchus tshawytscha (Chinook salmon), 1075 nucleotides long. The record is from Ensembl. NCBI's taxonomy places the organism in Eukaryota, Metazoa, Chordata, Actinopteri, Salmoniformes, Salmonidae.
CUAAAAUCACCUAUGGGAACAAUGAAUGGUGGAAAAACUAUUGGAACCAUUUUCCCUGUUUGACUGCUAUGUUUUAUGGUCAUACAUAUGAGUCAUAAUACCCUUCUUAGAACCCCCCCCUCCCCAACAACUGUUUUAUGGUCAUACACAUGAGUCAUAAUACCCUUCUUAAAACAAUUCCGAAUUCCACUUAGAAUCCCCCCCUCCCCAACGACUGUUUUAUGGUCAUACAUAUGAGUCAUAAUACCCUUCUUAAAACAAUUCCGAAUGCCAGCUUAGAACCCCCCCUCUAAGCAUCUACCGACAUACUUUGCUGAUCUACGAGGGAUCUGAGGCAGGCGUUAGAUUGCAAGCGUUUUCAAGUGCAACAUUGAAUAAAAAUGGUUUUGGGAAACAGCUCUCAGAUAUAACGAUGCUCCUACAGUGCAUUUGGAAAGUAUUCAGACCCCUUGACUUUUUCCAAAUUUUGUUAUGUUAAAGCCUUAUUCUAAAAUUAAUCAAAUUGUUUUGUUCCCUCAAUCUACAAACAAUACCCCGUAAUGACAAAGCAAAAACAGUUUUUUAGACAUAAAAAAACUAAAGUAUUCAGACCCUAAAACAGAUGUUUUACUCAGUACUUUGUUGAAGCACCUUUUGUCAAUGAUUACAGCAUCAAUUCUUCUUGGGUAUGAUGCUACAAGCUUGGCACACCUGUAUUUGGUGAGUUUCUCUCAUUCUUCUCUGCAGGUCCUCUCAAGCUCUGUGAAGUUGGAUGGGGAGCGUCGCUGUACAGCUAUCUCCAGGUCUCUCCAGAGAUGUUUGGACAGGUUCAAGUCCGGGCUCUGGCGGGGUCACACAAGAACAUUCAGACUUGUCCCGAAGCCACUCCUGUGUUGUUUUGGCUGUAUGCUUGAGGUCGUUGUCCUGUUGGAAGGUGAACCUUCGCCCCAGUCUGAGGUUUUGAGUGCUCUGGAGCAGGUUUUCAUCAAGGAUCUCUCUGUACCUUGCUCAAAGUGACCAUCGGGUUCUUGGUCACCUCCCUGACCAAGGCCCUUCUCCCCUGAUUGGUCAGUUUGGCCGGGCGGCCAGAUCUAGG